AGCAGCCGCGGUAAUUCCAGCUCCAAUAGCGUAUAUUAAAGUUGUUGCAGUUAAAAAGCUCGUAGUUGAAUUUCGGGGUCAGCAAGUUGGUCGUGCCACUGGUAUGCACUGGCUUUACUGAUUCCUCCUUCUUGAAGAACUGUAAUGCUAUUAAUUUAGUGUUGCAGGGAAACAGGACUGUUACUUUGAAAAGAUUAGAGUGUUUAAAGCAGGCUAACGCUUGAAUACAUUAGCAUGGAAUAAUGAAAUAGGACGUUUGAUCCUAUUUUGUUGGUUUCUAGGAUUGACGUAAUGAUUAAUAGGGAUAGUUGGGGGCAUUAGUAUUCAAUUGUCAGAGGUGAAAUUCUUGGAUUUAUUGAAGACUAACUACUGCGAAAGCAUUUGCCAAGGAUGUUUUCAUUAAUCAAGAACGAAAGUUAGGGGAUCGAAGACGAUCAGAUACCGUCGUAGUCUUAACCAUAAACUAUG
Molecule: ribosomal RNA, 468 nt
Filed under: uncultured Glomus
Lineage: Eukaryota; Fungi; Glomeromycota; Glomeromycetes; Glomerales; Glomeraceae
Description: SSU rRNA
Rfam family: Eukaryotic small subunit ribosomal RNA
Source: RNAcentral